AGAGCGAACGCUGGCGGCAGGCCUAACACAUGCAAGUCGAGCGCCCGUAGCAAUACGGGAGCGGCAGACGGGAUAGUAACACGUGGGAACGCGCCCUUCGGUUCGGAAUAACUCAGGGAAACUUGAGCUAAUACCGGAUACGCCCUUACGGGGAAAGAUUUAUUGCCGAAGGAACGGCCCGCGUCCGAUUAGCUAGUUGGUGAGGUAAUGGCUCACCAAGGCGACGAUCGGUAGCUGGUCUGAGAGGAUGACCAGCAUCACUGGGACUGAGACACGGCCCAGACUCCUACGGGAGGCAGCAGUGGGGAAUAUUGGACAAUGGGCGCAAGCCUGAUCCAGCCAUGCCGCGUGGAUGAUGAAGGCCUUAGGGUUGUAAAGUCCUUUUAACGGGGAAGAUAAUGACGGUACCCGUAGAAUAAGCCCGGCUAACGUUCGUGCCAGCAGGCCGC
Molecule: ribosomal RNA, 449 nt
Filed under: uncultured bacterium
Lineage: Bacteria
Description: SSU rRNA
Rfam family: Bacterial small subunit ribosomal RNA
Source: RNAcentral